Molecule: transfer RNA, 82 nt
Filed under: Pestalotiopsis fici W106-1
Lineage: Eukaryota; Fungi; Ascomycota; Sordariomycetes; Amphisphaeriales; Sporocadaceae
Also listed under: 3 other names
Description: tRNA-Leu (TAA) (tRNA-Leu-TAA-1-1)
Rfam family: tRNA
About the family: Transfer RNA (tRNA) molecules are approximately 80 nucleotides in length. Their secondary structure includes four short double-helical elements and three loops (D, anti-codon, and T loops). Further hydrogen bonds mediate the characteristic L-shaped molecular structure. tRNAs have two regions of fundamental functional importance: the anti-codon, which is responsible for specific mRNA codon recognition, and the 3' end, to which the tRNAs corresponding amino acid is attached (by aminoacyl-tRNA synthetases). tRNAs cope with the degeneracy of the genetic code in two manners: having more than one tRNA (with a specific anti-codon) for a particular amino acid; and 'wobble' base-pairing, i.e. permitting non-standard base-pairing at the 3rd anti-codon position.
Source: Rfam by way of RNAcentral
GUGAGCAUGGCCGAGUGGUCUAAGGCGGUAGAUUUAAGCUCUACUGACGAAAGUCGCCUGGGUUCGACCCCCAGUGCUCACA